RNAcentral lists this small RNA (541 nucleotides) under Pan troglodytes (chimpanzee). RNAcentral describes it as "processed transcript". The record is from RNAcentral. Lineage: Eukaryota; Metazoa; Chordata; Mammalia; Primates; Hominidae.
GGCUGUGUGUGUGUGUGCGUGUGUAUAUGUGUGUGUGUGUGUGAGAGAGAGAGAGAACAGCGUGAGCCUGUGUGCUUGUGUGCUGAGCCCUCAUCCCCUCCUGGGGCCAGGCUUGGGUUUCACCUGCAGAAUCGCUUGUGCUGGGCUGCCUGGGCUGUCCUCAGUGGCACCUGCAUGAAGCCGUUCUGGCUGCCAGAGCUGGACAGCCCCAGGAAAACCCACCUCUCUGCAGAGCUUGCCCAGCUGUCCCCGGGAAGCCAAAUGCCUCUCAUGUAAGUCUUCUGCUCGACGGGGUGUCUCCUAAACCCUCACUCUUCAGCCUCUGUUUGACCAUGAAAUGAAGUGACUGAGCUCUAUUCUGUACCUGCCACUCUAUUUCUGGGGUGACUUUUGUCAGCUGCCCAGAAUCUCCAAGCCAGGCUGGUUCUCUGCAUCCUUUCAAUGACCUGUUUUCUUCUGUAACCACAGGAUGCAUGACCCUAAGAGCCCUUUCUUGGGCUUGCUCAGAUUCGGUGGUGAGAGGAAGCCUCGCAGAAUCCAG